This 90-nucleotide small nucleolar RNA is filed under the name Nelumbo nucifera (sacred lotus). Its description in RNAcentral is "Small nucleolar RNA snoR26". It matches the Rfam family "Small nucleolar RNA snoR26". The record is from Rfam by way of RNAcentral. Lineage: Eukaryota; Viridiplantae; Streptophyta; Magnoliopsida; Proteales; Nelumbonaceae.
GGAGCAUCAAUGAUGUGUUACAUCCACUUGUUAUCCUUGCACUUUGAUUGUUAGUGAAGAAACUAAUGGGGAAAACAUUCUGAGAUGCUC